CGAGCUGGACGACCUGCCCGUCCUGCAUGUCGACGGCGGGGACGACCUCG
RNAcentral lists this non-coding RNA (50 nucleotides) under Halorientalis sp. Its description in RNAcentral is "Guanidine-II sequence". It matches the Rfam family "Guanidine-II riboswitch aptamer (mini-ykkC)". From Rfam's summary of the family: Simpler in structure and has fewer highly conserved nucleotide positions than the ykkC-yxkD leader. Despite this each of its two stem-loop structures directly bind free guanidine. Therefore, mini-ykkC RNA motif represents a distinct class of guanidine-sensing RNAs. Lineage: Archaea; Methanobacteriati; Methanobacteriota; Halobacteria; Halobacteriales; Haloarculaceae. RNAcentral also lists the same sequence under 1 other name. The record is from RNAcentral.